AGAUUUCUGUCUGCCUCUCAUUGGCAAACAUGACAUUUCAGCAAUUUCUCUAAAGAGGAAUGACUGGGGGGUAUGUACAGCAGGCAUCAUGUAAGAAAAACUCACACCUCACGACAUAUUUGUUUGAUUUAUUCAGCAGACUUCAGCAAAGGAAAGAUGUGAAAGCAACCCUUGAUUGUUGAUUUUUUGUUCAUUCUGAAAAUCACAUCGCCAGAUCCAACACCUUUUUAUCCCAAUCACCAGUACAAGCCACCCGUAUCAGUGUACACUGUGGCUGACCGAUCCAUAGUGAUGCUUUGAGCACAAGGAAGGACUUUCUGGAAUCUACUUAUCUGACCAAGAAAGCUUCUUUCCAAAAGAAAUGCAAUUGUCUUGAGACUUCUUCCCUAGGGAUCUGAUCAACUAACCAGAAAAGAGCAACCACCAGAGAAGAGACUAUUGUGGUCUACUCUAUAGAAGGGAUCAUGCUUUGAACCUCAUCUUGAAAGGAGAUUCAAUCUUUCCUUCUUGCUCCUAAUAUCAACAGAGGGUGGAAUAUAUGGUAGGCAUUCAGUAAUUAUUUUCUGUAUUACAUUAUUUUGAUUGUUACUCUAUGUUGUACUCCUAAAUUCAAACUGCAAAUUUCUAUUGAUUUCAUUGAUAAACACAUCUAUUUCACUAUAGUCUCAGUUCAUACAACUCUUAGAAUUUAUAUCGAUGUCAUUUAAAAGUCAGAAAAGUGACUUCUCUUUAAGAAAGAUAUUAUUAAGAUAAUUAUAAUAACUUUGGUAAGGAAACCUAUGUUUGUUGAAAAUUUUCUAAGUACCAGGAUUAUGCCAGACACUUUAAAAAUUUAUUUGUUUUCUUAAUUCCUACUUACAAAUGAGGCAAGUGAGGACCAGGAAGUUAAAAAAACUUUGAUAAGGUUCGCAGCCAGUUUAAUGUCAGAUCUAUAUAGGACCAAGUCUGUAUCAUUAGAAAAUCAAUUUUCUCAAAUGAAUUGAGUGGAAAGUUUUUGUAAUAAAUAAUACAAAUUUGCUUAUACGAGUGUUAUGUGGGCAUAUGGGUAUUUUCUGAGCUGGAUCAGAAAAACUGUUAUGGGGCAAGUAAUAAUAGUACUAUACAAUUUCAAUUAUUUUAAUAUUUGUAGGGAAUAUUACUCAACUAAAUAAUAAAUGUAUGAUAUGAUCCUGAAUUCUCUUAUUUCCCCUUUGUGUCUGCAAUUGACAAGAUAUUUGACAAUGUGUCUCAAGAUAUCCUUAGGAAUAAUACAAAGAAAUAUGGCCUAGAUGCUAAUGCAAUUAAGGUGGAAAGAAAGUGCUUAUAUUAUCAUACCGAGAAGCUAUUAAUAUGUUGAUUCCAAUCUGUUGCCAUUUUAUUAAUGCCUGUAAUGAAGAAUUAGAGAGUAUACUUAAUACAUUUGCAGAUGAUAAGGUUCAUUGAUAUGACAAAAAUUCACUGGAAAAGCAGAAUCAAAUGAUACAUAGAGAUUUGAUGAAUGGGCUAAAUCUUCAGAAACUGCAUUUGAAAGGAAUUACUAUGAAUUCUUGUCUUUUGUUUCAAAAACCUAAGUAGCAUAUUAGGAAAAGAUAAUCACAUGCAGAGAUGGAGAAAUUUGAAAAUUAGGAGGGUGUGUUGUUUCCUUUAGUUGUCACCUCAAGGUAAAUCAAAAAGGUAAUGUUGUUGCCUCAAACAAAUAAAACCCAUAGGCAAAAGAAAACUAGAAUUUCUGUGUAACACAAUCUGUGAAGGAAUCAUUUUCCUUAAUAAAUAUAGAAUCAUCCAGGCUUUAGAAGCUAGCAGCAAAUGAGAAUUCUCCAGGUGGGGAAGGGAAUCUGAUAAAAACAGAUUUUAUGAGAUUGUCAGUACAUUUGGCCUUUUCCUUAGAACUCAGCCACUUAGAAUACAGCUGCCUUCAGGAGGCUGGAUGACAACGUGCAUUGUUCCCCUCCAAUCCAAGCUAGGACAAAAAUAUUUAUUUUGCAUAUGCAUCUCAAAAUUGAGCCUGGUUGGAAUUUUCAGAGAUUUUUCUGAACACUAAGGGAAAAACAGAAGAGAAAUGGCCAGACACCAAGAAAUACAGAAGUAGUUUGUCUCGAAGAUGCAAGCCCAAGACUCAGACUCUGCCUUAAUCUACCAUUGUCCCGAAGUAGAGACACCUGCCUACUCUCCCAAAAGUUUCAUGGAGCUUAGUAGGUGCAAGGCCAAAGUUUCCUCUUUGAGACACAAAGUUAGCUCUCGCUCUUAGUGAGCCUCCCCUUGAGGAAUGCCACUUUUUGAUUCAUUUUUCGGGAACCAGCUGCCUAAAUACCUUGUUUUCCUGCUGCAUCCUAAUCUUCUGUUCAGUUCAGCAUUUAGGUCUGAGGAACAUAAAUCUUCAACAAUAAUUAGGCAGAUUUACACUGCAUGAAUAACUUCAAUUUCACCUUUCAGGUGAUUCUGUAUUUCCUAUACUUGGAAAGAAACUAUACUUUUUCAUGCACCAAGAGUAACAAUAUUCUAAUUCAAAAUGUGUCCUGCAAGACACUCUAUGAAAAGGGUCUUGUGUCAAAAAAUUUUGGAAGCACUGCUCUGUGUUUAUCCCUCAAGGAGUCUUGGACAUGAUUAUAAUAGCAUCUUAAGGGUCUAACAUGGCCUGCAAUUUAAAAAUCUCUUAAAUUUAAAUGUUCUAAAUCUCAAGUUAACUGAAAGUUUUCCAAGCUAAUUUGACCAGAGAACAGAUUAUGCACAUAAAUUGUGUUGUGUGUUAAUACAGCACCUAUUAACCUCCUAUGGAAGGUAGUUUGUACAACACUGCUCUUUACCAAAGAAGUGUACAGUCAGAUUUUACACAUAACAUGCGAUAAGCAGAUCACUGCCUCUCAGAAGUUAGUUUCUGAGAAUCAGAUGGGUCCUGCUCUGUAUGUUCAAAUACAUACUAUUUCAGUUUUGAGAACCAUUUUUCUUAGUAAUCUGGACAUGUAUGUUUUUUUUUCAAAUGAGAAGAACCAGAUUUUAAAAAAUGAUUGAAAUCAUGCCCCAUGAUAUAUAUUUGGAGUAACAGGGGAUGGGAUGUCUAGUAUGUAGAAGAGAGAUGUACAGUGGGGAAAAUGUCAUUGAUUGCCUCAGUAUUUGCAAUUGACAUAAAUCUAUGUGAAACCGGUUUUGGGGGGCCAGGCGGGGUGUCUCUUGCCUGUAAUCCCACCACUUUUGGAGGCUGAGUUGGGCAUAUCACUUGAGGUCAGGAGUUCGAGACCAACCUGGCCAACGUGGCAAAACCCCAUCUCCACUAAACAUACAAAAAUUAGCAGGGUGUGGUGGUACACACCAGUAGUCCCAGCUACUGGGGAGGCUGAGGCAUGAGAAUCGCUUGAACCCAGGAGGCAGAGGUUGCAAUAAGCCGAGAUUGCCCCACUGCACUCCAGCCUGGGCAACAGAACGCAACCCUGUCUCAAAAAAAAAAAAAAAAAUCCAAAACCAAACCAAAAACAAAUAAACAAACAAAAAAA
This is a long non-coding RNA of Homo sapiens (human), 3467 nucleotides long. RefSeq lists it as uncharacterized. Lineage: Eukaryota; Metazoa; Chordata; Mammalia; Primates; Hominidae. The transcript is spliced from 4 exons. The record is from RefSeq and is a predicted model, not a curated record.